RNAcentral lists this ribosomal RNA (253 nucleotides) under uncultured bacterium. RNAcentral describes it as "partial 16S ribosomal RNA". It matches the Rfam family "Bacterial small subunit ribosomal RNA", at positions 524 to 776 of the family's 1533-position model. The record is from RNAcentral.
GACGGGGGAUGCGAGCGUUAUCCGGAAUGAUUGGGCGUAAAGGGUCCGCAGGUGGCCCGGUCAGUCCGCUGUCAAAGCCUGGGGCUCAACCCUGGAGAGGCGGCGGAGACCACCGGGCUUGAGUCCGGUAGGGGCAGAGGGAAUUCCCGGUGGAGCGGUGAAAUGCGUAGAUAUUGGGAGGAACACCAGUGGCGAAGGCGGCUCACUGGACCGGUACUGACGCUGAGGCGCGAAAGCGUGGGGAUCAAACAGG